RNAcentral lists this ribosomal RNA (648 nucleotides) under Amanita sp. 07054. RNAcentral's name for it is "eukaryotic LSU rRNA". It matches the Rfam family "Eukaryotic large subunit ribosomal RNA", at positions 35 to 652 of the family's 3401-position model. Lineage: Eukaryota; Fungi; Basidiomycota; Agaricomycetes; Agaricales; Amanitaceae. The record is from RNAcentral.
UAAGCAUAUCAAUAAGCGGAGGAAAAGAAACUAACAAGGAUUCCCUUAGUAACUGCGAGUGAAGUGGGAAAAGCUCAAAUUUAAAAUCUGGCAGUCUGAAUUUACUUCUUUGGCUGUCCGAGUUGUAAUCUAGAGAAGUGCUACCUGUACUGGACCAUGUACAAGUCUCCUGGGAUGGAGCAUCACAGAGGGUGAGAAUCCCGUCUAUGACAUGGACUACCAGUGUGUUGUGGAGUACUUUCAAAGAGUCGAGUUGUUUGGGAAUGCAGCUCUAAAUGGGUGGUAAACUCCAUCUAAAGCUAAAUAUUGGCGAGAGACCGAUAGUGAACAAGUACCGUGAGGGAAAGAUGAAAAGGACUUUGGAAAGAGAGUUAAACAGUACGUGAAAUUGUUGAAAGGGAAACACUUGAUGUCAGUUGUGUUAGCUGGGGAUCAGCCUAGCAUUUUUGCUUGGUGAAUUUCCUGGUGUGACAGGCCAACAUCAGUUUCGAYUGCUGGAGAAAGGCAGACGGAAUGUGGCACCUUUGGGUGUGUUAUAGCUUUCUGUCAGAUGUAGCAGUCGGGACUGAGGUAUGCAGUGCGCCGUAAGGCAGGGUUUCGACCACACUCGCACUUAGGAUGUUGGUUUAAUGGCAUCAAUUGACCCGU